Molecule: antisense RNA, 75 nt
Filed under: Streptomyces sp. NRRL F-4711
Lineage: Bacteria; Bacillati; Actinomycetota; Actinomycetes; Kitasatosporales; Streptomycetaceae
Also listed under: 2 other names
Description: ASpks sRNA
Rfam family: ASpks TB sRNA
Source: RNAcentral
CUUCAUGGACCCCAGGUAGAGGGGGUGUCCGGCGUCGCGUUCCCGGCCGUACGUGGCGAGCAGCGCCUGGGCCUC